RNAcentral lists this unclassified non-coding RNA (639 nucleotides) under Hevea brasiliensis (rubber tree). Lineage: Eukaryota; Viridiplantae; Streptophyta; Magnoliopsida; Malpighiales; Euphorbiaceae. The record is from RNAcentral.
GGAGAUUCUCAUCGACAAACACAACAUCAAGGAUCUUGAUUUGAAAUUUCUUCGAAGGAACAUUGGAGCAGUUUCUCAAGAGCCGUCCCUUUUUGCUGGUACCAUCAAGGAUAACUUGAAAGUAGGAAAUAUGGAUGCUGAUGAUCAACAGAUUCAAGAUGCAGCACUGAUGGCAAAUGCACACUCAUUCAUUGCCCAGCUUCCAAAUCAGUACUUAACAGAGGUGAUUUACUUGCUCCCAAUUUACUCAUCAGACACAUCACUCUUUAAAGAGCUCAACUAUGUUGCAAACUAAUAAUUCAAUCCAAGUUAGCACAUCCAAUUAUCCAUCUGGUUUAAUCGUAAUAGUCCUUAUAUAUGGGAACAAAUUUAGGCAUUUAAAAAUCAAGACAUAUAAAUAAAAAGAUAACAUAGAACACAAUACUGUCAAGUUAUGGAACAUAAAGGUUAAAACUCCUAGAAUUUUCCUUAUUUGUUCAAGUGUUUAGAAAAAGAGUUGAGAGCAUCCAAGGUUGUCUAUGAUUCAUGAUUCAAGUGGAGCGCUAUAAAUAAAAAAUGCUAUUUCUAGUUUUGAAUGAUGUCUCACCCAUGCAGGCUCUAUACCGAUUAGUCUUGUGAUUAAAAUUCCUUUUCGUUUAA